ACACUAAAUUCACAACCCCACAAAUAAUCCCACGGAGAUCGAUUUUUCAAAACAGAUUACUAUAACUUGCCGGAAAUCUCGAAAAUCGCACCAGAACUCCGCCGGGACCCAUGAAGUGUCCCAUGACUCACCGACUGGCGUCACGAGUCACCCUCUACCACAAAACACCAUAAUAAGCUCACAUCGAAAUAAUUAACGUUGGAUAAUCGUUCCGAUUUUGGUUCCCGAAAAUAUCAAUUUCGACACCGGAACCCAUCGUCGCUCACCC
RNAcentral lists this long non-coding RNA (268 nucleotides) under Ananas comosus (pineapple). RNAcentral describes it as "long non-coding RNA (ACOM_LNC012417)". Lineage: Eukaryota; Viridiplantae; Streptophyta; Magnoliopsida; Poales; Bromeliaceae. The record is from RNAcentral.